GAUGAACGCUAGCGGGAGGCUUAACACAUGCAAGUCGAGCGGGAUUAGCAGCAAUGCUAUGAGAGCGGCGCACGGGUGCGUAACGCGUAUGCAACCUGCCUUAUACAGGGAAUAGCCCAUGGAAACGUGGAUUAAAGUCCCAUAGGAUUACGGAUUCGCAUGGAUUUGUGAUUAAAACUGAGGUGGUAUAAGAUGGGCAUGCGUCUGAUUAGGUAGUUGGUGAGGUAAUGGCUCACCAAGCCGACGAUCAGUAGGGGUUCUGAGAGGAUUACCCCCCACACUGGUACUGAGACACGGACCAGACUCCUACGGGAGCAGCAGUGAGGAAUAUUGGUCAAUGGCCGAAAGGCUGAACCAGCCAUCCCGCGUGCAGGAUGACGGCCCUAUGGGUUG
This 393-nucleotide ribosomal RNA is filed under the name uncultured bacterium. RNAcentral's name for it is "bacterial SSU rRNA". It matches the Rfam family "Bacterial small subunit ribosomal RNA", at positions 28 to 425 of the family's 1533-position model. The record is from RNAcentral.